Molecule: long non-coding RNA, 272 nt
Filed under: Trifolium pratense (red clover)
Lineage: Eukaryota; Viridiplantae; Streptophyta; Magnoliopsida; Fabales; Fabaceae
Description: long non-coding RNA (TPRA_LNC004098)
Source: RNAcentral
CAAGGGAUUGACAAAACUCACCUAAGUUCUCCUUCAAAUCUUCCUCACAUUCUGAACAUGUUUUUGAGAUAAAAAAAAUAGGAAAAUAAGCAAAAAAUACCACUUGAAAGAUACAAUUGAAAAUAAUGGAUUCAUGAAUCCAUGGUUACAGACGAACAAAAAUAAAACUUUAGUUACAUAGGUAAGAAAUCAAUUCAUCAUUUUUGACACCUACCCAUCCGGUGAUUCCAAAUCAACAGAUUUAUCUGUUCCAUUAUUAUCUUUGAACAAUU